ACGUAGGGUGCAAGCGUUGUCCGGAAUUAUUGGGCGUAAAGAGCUCGUAGGCGGUCUGUCGCGUCGGAUGUGAAAAUCCAGGGCUCAACCCUGGACCUGCAUUCGAUACGGGCAGACUAGAGUUCGGCAGGGGAGACUGGAAUUCCUGGUGUAGCGGUGAAAUGCGCAGAUAUCAGGAGGAACACCAAUUGCGAAGGCAGCUCGCUGGGACGUUACUGACGCUGAGACGCGAAAGCGUGGGGAGCAAACCGGA
Molecule: ribosomal RNA, 253 nt
Filed under: uncultured prokaryote
Description: partial 16S ribosomal RNA
Rfam family: Bacterial small subunit ribosomal RNA
Source: RNAcentral